This 92-nucleotide transfer RNA is filed under the name Desulfovibrio sp. RNAcentral describes it as "tRNA-Ser". It matches the Rfam family "tRNA". Rfam says of the family: Transfer RNA (tRNA) molecules are approximately 80 nucleotides in length. Lineage: Bacteria; Pseudomonadati; Thermodesulfobacteriota; Desulfovibrionia; Desulfovibrionales; Desulfovibrionaceae. The record is from RNAcentral.
GGAGAGGUGUCCGAGCUGGUCGAAGGAGCACGAUUGGAAAUCGUGUGAUGGUUAACAGCCAUCCGUGAGUUCGAAUCUCACCCUCUCCGCCA